Humulus lupulus (European hop) is the source of this 1358-nucleotide long non-coding RNA. RefSeq lists it as uncharacterized. The transcript is spliced from 2 exons. The record is from RefSeq and is a predicted model, not a curated record. NCBI's taxonomy places the organism in Eukaryota, Viridiplantae, Streptophyta, Magnoliopsida, Rosales, Cannabaceae.
GAGCAACUAUCUACUAACUUGUUAUGAUGGCUAGCAAUGCAUACUCCAAGGUUUGAGCAAGUGGACGAUUGUCAUUAUUAAGCCCACUUUGGGACAAUAUGACUUCUCGCUGGGAGUCAAGGCUUCUUUAUGAUGCCACCACGGAGCGUGUUUCCUCCGAAAGGACCAAAUGAGCAUCUUUUUCCUUUAUGAUAUUUUCUGGGUACAACAAGUAUCACGAGAAACACAAAGUUCUAAUAGCUGAGCUUGAGAAGUCUCGAAGAUGUUUGGAGAACAAGGACAAAGAACUAGCUGAGUCCACCUUGAAAAGAGAAGAAGCAGAGAAAGAGCUCCAAGGCUCUCUAAAGGUUAAAAGCGAUACAAUCUUUGUCUUGGCAUAUUCCAAUGCCUAGCCUUGAAACAUAAACAAAAAUUAAUUGGUCAAACUUGCCCAAUGUUUUGUAAAACACAGGGAUUUCAGAAAUAAAUUGUUUUGUAAAGAGCGUAUAAUUCUGCUAAUCUGAAACCAAGCUUGCAAAGAUAGAGGCUCAAGUGGCCUACUUGAAAGUGUGACCGAGCUUCAUUUGGAAGAUCAAUAUAUGACUGACGCACUGGUGAGAAGCAUGUCUAAAAUUGACCAUCGUUAUUCAAUGACCAUCAUCAUGAAUGAUCUCAACAAGGUUCAAUCAAAACGUGAAUUUGAUUUCGAGUGGUACUACAAGAAAUUCAAUGUGAGGUUCGGAAACUUCGAUAAAAAUAAUUACGCAGAUGAGCUUAAUUUGGAAGAUAUUGACUAUCCGCCAAAGAUCUGAUUAAACUCUGAAGGCAAGGACUCGAGCACACGUUCUCUAGCGAACUAGCAUCUACUUUCAACGAUCCUCCAGAGGAAAAGGAUGAAUCAUUUAGCUGGCUCUUCUGUGGAUAUCUUCUUUGAUCUUUCAAACUUUGAAUUCUCAGAUGAAAAGUCAAUGGAAGAUAAUGAAAUAAUCUCCCUUGGUCAAUCUGCUAACAAAGUUCGCGACAAUCUCGAGCUCAGUGGGCACCUACAAUGCCCUAAACGAUCCUUCAGAUCCUGUUCAAGCAACAAAUCUUCCCCACCCUAUUAGAUUGCAAGUAUCCCCGAUCCUAUCCAAUCAGUAAGCCCGACCAAUUUGGCCCUAGAAAGCACUAACAAUCAAAGUGUCCAAGGGUCAAAUGAUCUUCCAGCCCCAACAAUUAAUUUUAUUUUCAAAUUUAAUUUGUGUAUACUUGUAAUAGUUUCUCAACUAUUCUUCUAUUUAGAGCAUCUUCUCUUUUGUUCUUUAGUCAAUAACAGCUUGUAUAAACUUCUUCAGAAGUGUUUUUAGACAUCUUUUAAUAAUUAUGAAUCUUCUUUUGAA